Molecule: unclassified non-coding RNA, 332 nt
Filed under: Hevea brasiliensis (rubber tree)
Lineage: Eukaryota; Viridiplantae; Streptophyta; Magnoliopsida; Malpighiales; Euphorbiaceae
Source: RNAcentral
CGAGAAUGUUUUUCGAGACACUGGUUCUCAAGACAAAGGAUUACCUCCAUGUAGAACAGGAAAGACCUUUUGACAACAUUAGUAUAAAGCCAAGAAUAAAUCUCAUGAAAUCAAGUUUCUGAUUUACUUUAGGAAAAGGCAGAGAUACACAGCUUGGGGAAAAACCAAAAAACAAAAAACAAAAAGGCUCCAGUAGAUGUUAGUUCAGCCGAUGCUUCGCUCGGGAUGUCGAUAGCUAUUUUCAUCAUCAGAAACUCCCCUUCCCAACAAAAUAAUCUUUUGUAUUUCUUUCUUCUUUUUGUUAUUAUUAUUUAUAUAUUGCCUUGUUUAAG